AAAAACACCAGGAUGAAAUACGUAUAUUCAUGGAGUAUAUGUAUGGUGGGUCAUUAAAGACGUUGAUUGAUGAAUCAAGGGGCUUACUGGAAUCUCGAACGCAGAACUUUACUAAACAAAUACUAGAUGGUCUACAUUUCCUUCAUAAGAGAGGAUAUAUUCAUAGAGACCUUAAAGACCAGCAAGCUACUGAUCUGCAGCUAUACCAUGUAGAGACGGAACUAAAAUUCAAAUUGAAUUAUUACAG
Saccostrea echinata is the source of this 247-nucleotide long non-coding RNA. RefSeq lists it as uncharacterized. Lineage: Eukaryota; Metazoa; Mollusca; Bivalvia; Ostreida; Ostreidae. The record is from RefSeq and is a predicted model, not a curated record. The transcript has 3 exons.